Molecule: ribosomal RNA, 444 nt
Filed under: bacterium Ellin5023
Lineage: Bacteria; Bacillati; Actinomycetota; Actinomycetes; Kitasatosporales; Streptomycetaceae
Description: bacterial SSU rRNA
Rfam family: Bacterial small subunit ribosomal RNA
Source: RNAcentral
GACGAACGCUGGCGGCGUGCUUAACACAUGCAAGUCGAACGAUGAACCACUUCGGUGGGGAUUAGUGGCGAACGGGUGAGUAACACGUGGGCAAUCUGCCCUUCACUCUGGGACAAGCCCUGGAAACGGGGUCUAAUACCGGAUAGCACUCCUGCCUGCAUGGGUGGGGGUUGAAAGCUCCGGCGGUGAAGGAUGAGCCCGCGGCCUAUCAGCUUGUUGGUGAGGUAAUGGCUCACCAAGGCGACGACGGGUAGCCGGCCUGAGAGGGCGACCGGCCACACUGGGACUGAGACACGGCCCAGACUCCUACGGGAGGCAGCAGUGGGGAAUAUUGCACAAUGGGCGAAAGCCUGAUGCAGCGACGCCGCGUGAGGGAUGACGGCCUUCGGGUUGUAAACCUCUUUCAGCAGGGAAGAAGCGAAAGUGACGGUACCUGCAGAAGAA